GAAUUGACCAAUUGUAGGGAGUC
Molecule: microRNA, 23 nt
Filed under: Manduca sexta (tobacco hornworm)
Lineage: Eukaryota; Metazoa; Arthropoda; Insecta; Lepidoptera; Sphingidae
Description: mse-miR-929b
Gene: mse-miR-929b
Source: miRBase by way of RNAcentral